Molecule: long non-coding RNA, 445 nt
Organism: Leptinotarsa decemlineata (Colorado potato beetle)
Lineage: Eukaryota; Metazoa; Arthropoda; Insecta; Coleoptera; Chrysomelidae
Source: RefSeq, a predicted model, not a curated record
CACCAACCCCGAUGGAUUAUUUGCUAUAUAAAGAUUGUGCUCUACUGACCACACCAGAAUUUGUCCGUGACAAGUCAUUGCAACAUUACUAUCGUCAACAUGUUCAAAUUGAUUGCUUUCUUCGCCAUCCUGGCCAUCACCUUUGCUGUACCUUCUCCAAACCCCAAGCCUGACCCCCUUUCUCUGAUUCAACCGGCAGCAUUGACAUACCCCGCGUAUAGUCCAAUCUCCACCUAUUCGAAUUUGGGAUACAACUACCUUCCAUAUGCGUACAACUACAACUACUAUGGAUCACCAUUGGCGUACAGGAAUCUUUAUUACUAGGAGAAGAGUUGCUCAAGAGAACAUGGACUGCGAUUGAUACAGAUUUAGGCAAAUUCUCCCUCCUGGUGGAAUUGAUAACAAAUUAUUUCUCGAUUGGGUGAAUAAAAAAUUCUAAAAACUA